RNAcentral lists this ribosomal RNA (109 nucleotides) under Pteropus alecto (black flying fox). Lineage: Eukaryota; Metazoa; Chordata; Mammalia; Chiroptera; Pteropodidae. The record is from RNAcentral.
AUCUAUGGCCAUGCCAUCCUUAAUGUGCCCGAUCCCGUCUGAUCUCAGCUGCUAAGCAGGGUUGGGCCUGGUUAGUACUUGGAUGGGAGAUCACAAGGUGCUGUAGGCA